Molecule: unclassified non-coding RNA, 395 nt
Filed under: soil metagenome
Description: partial contains 5.8S ribosomal RNA, internal transcribed spacer 2, and large subunit ribosomal RNA
Rfam family: 5.8S ribosomal RNA (bases 1-122)
Source: RNAcentral
GAUGAAGAACGUAGUGAAAUGCGAUACUUGGUGUGAAUUGCAGAAUCCCGUGAACCAUCGAGUCUUUGAACGCAAGUUGCGCCCGAAGCCAUCAGGUUGAGGGCACGUCUGCCUGGGCGUCACAUAUCGUUGCCCAAUGCCUAUUGCAGUGCAAUAGGAAUUUCUAGGGCGAAUGAUGGCUUCCCGUGAUCGUUGUUGCCUCGCGGUUGGUUGAAAAUCGAGUCCUUGGUAGGGUGUGCCAUGGUAGAUGGUGGUCGAGUUAGAACGAUACCGAUCAUGUGCAUGCUCCCCAAAAUAUGGCCUCUAUGACCCACACGCGUCUUUUGACGCUCAUGACGAGACCUCAGGUCAGGCGGGGCUACCCGCUGAAUUUAAGCAUAUCAACAAGCGGAGGA